GUGCUUGCUUCAGCAGCACAUAUACUAAAAGUGAGAACAAUGAGGAAGUUAGCAUGGCCCCUGUGCAAGGAUGGCACACCAACUUGUGAAGGAUUGUUUU
This is a small nuclear RNA of Cavia aperea (Brazilian guinea pig), 100 nucleotides long. Lineage: Eukaryota; Metazoa; Chordata; Mammalia; Rodentia; Caviidae. The record is from Ensembl.